This 393-nucleotide ribosomal RNA is filed under the name uncultured bacterium. Its description in RNAcentral is "bacterial SSU rRNA". It matches the Rfam family "Bacterial small subunit ribosomal RNA", at positions 32 to 405 of the family's 1533-position model. The record is from RNAcentral.
AAUCAACGCUGGCGGCGUGCCUCAGACAUGCAAGUCGAACGCGAAAGUCCCCGUUCGGGGGACAAGUAGAGUGGCGCACGGGUGAGUAACACGUAGGUAAUCUACCUUUGGAUGGGGAUAACAAUCGGAAACGGUUGCUAAUACCGCAUAAUGCAGCGGCACCUAAUGGUGACAGUUGUUAAAGCGGGGGAUCGAAAGACCUCGCGUCUGAAGAGGAGCCUGCGGCGGAUUAGCUAGNGGUAAGGCAACGGCUUACCAAGGCGACGAUCCGUAGCCGGCCUGAGAGGGCGGUCGGCCACACUGACACUGACAUACGGGUCAGACUCCUACGGGAGGCAGCAGUCGGGAAUUUUGGGCAAUGGGCGAAAGCCUGACCCAGCAACGCCGCGUGAA